AUUUGUGUAAUUUGAGAACCAAUGUAAAUGCAGAAUGUUCAUAUGCGAAAGUAGUUGCUUCUGGUAUUUUUACGUGUACACUUGGAAGAGCCAUUUUCUGACAGCAUACAAUCAGCCGUUCGGUCAUUCUUAACAUUGGACAGCUUGAAAAAGUAUCAUCAAUGGCUGUGUUAAGAAUACCUUCUUUUGUUACAAUCAUCAUUGUCCUGCUUUUUGGUUCGGACAUAAUCGUAGAUUGUUAUGAAAAUCCAUGGCCUGAAACUUUUAUGGAUUUUGGAAUGGAUGAUCCCCGACCUUUUACAUCGAGCUGGCCCUAUAACGUACAAAAUAGUUAUAGAGGUUAUGGUGACUAUGUUAGACAAAUGCUAAAUAACAAACUCAAAGAUAUGAUGAAAUUUUCAAGGGACUUUGUUCACCAGGGGAAUUACUAUGGAAAUAAUUUCGAGCAGGACCCAGACACUAAGAUGUUACUGCAGCAAGCACGAGUAGCUUUCGCAAACAGUAAUUCAGGGGGCCGUUAUUUAGGAAAAUUGGUUCGGACUGCAUCCUGUGGCAAACAUUGUAUCAUCAAAGUUGUAAUCGGAAAAAUUAAUGGAAAUUAUUAUGAAAAUGUCUCGAAAAGUAAUCAUUAGACGGAAUCUGAAUCAUGGAAGGUUAAAGGUAUGCUAUGUAUCCAUUUUUAACCGGUAAUGAAGGCGCUGGCAACUUAAAACAGCUACAAAGCAAGAAUUGUAAAGCAAUAUAAAAAUAAAGCAUAUUUGUUUGUAAAUGGA
Octopus sinensis (East Asian common octopus) is the source of this 773-nucleotide RNA transcript. RefSeq lists it as uncharacterized. NCBI's taxonomy places the organism in Eukaryota, Metazoa, Mollusca, Cephalopoda, Octopoda, Octopodidae. The transcript has 4 exons. The record is from RefSeq and is a predicted model, not a curated record.